GACGAACGCUGGCGGCGUGCUUAACACAUGCAAGUCGAACGGAAAGGCCCUGCUUUCGUGGGGUGCUCGAGUGGCGAACGGGUGAGUAACACGUGAGUAACCUGCCCUUGACUUUGGUAUAACUUCAGGAAACUGGGGCUAAUACCGUAUAGGAGCUCCUGCUGCAUGGUGGGGGGUGGAAAGUUUGGGCGGGUGGGGAUGGACGCGCGGCUUAUCAGCUUGUUGGUGGGGUAGGGGCUUACCAAGGCUUUGACGGGUAGCCGGCCUGGGAGGGGGGACGGCCACAUUGGGACUGAGAGACGGCCCAGACUCCUACGGGAGGCAGCAGUGGGGAAUAUUGCACAAUGGGCGGAAGCCUGAUGCAGCAACGCCGCGGGCGGGAUGACGGCCUUCGGGUUGUAAACCGCUUUCGCCUGUGACGAAGCGUGAGUGACGGUAAUGGGUAAAGAAGCACCGGCUAACUACGUG
RNAcentral lists this ribosomal RNA (468 nucleotides) under uncultured bacterium. RNAcentral's name for it is "partial 16S ribosomal RNA". It matches the Rfam family "Bacterial small subunit ribosomal RNA", at positions 28 to 507 of the family's 1533-position model. The record is from RNAcentral.